GAUGAACGCUGGCGGCGUGCUUAAUACAUGCAAGUCGAACGGAGACUGUAGCAAUACUGUCUUAGUGGCGAACGGGUGAGUAACGCGUUGGUGACCUGCCCCGAAGAGGGGGAUAACAGUCCGAAAGGAUUGCUAAUACCCCAUGUGGUCGUUUGGAUUAGAUGCCUUACGACUAACGGAUUUAUUCGCUUCGGGAGGGGCCUGCGUCCCAUCAGCUAGUUGGUAGGGUAAUAGCCUACCAAGGCGAUGACGGGUAGGGGACCUGAGAGGGUGGCCCCCCACAAUGGAACUGAAACACGGUCCAUACACCUACGGGUGGCAGCAGUAGGGAAUAUUGGUAAUCUGGGAAACCGGGAACCAGCAACGCCGCGUGCGCGAUGAAGGCCUUCGGGUUGUAAAGCGCUUUUUAAAGGGAUGAGGAAGGACAGUACCUUUAGAAUAAGCCUCGGCUAACUACGUG
This 460-nucleotide ribosomal RNA is filed under the name uncultured bacterium. RNAcentral's name for it is "bacterial SSU rRNA". It matches the Rfam family "Bacterial small subunit ribosomal RNA", at positions 28 to 507 of the family's 1533-position model. The record is from RNAcentral.